RNAcentral lists this ribosomal RNA (890 nucleotides) under uncultured bacterium. RNAcentral's name for it is "bacterial SSU rRNA". It matches the Rfam family "Bacterial small subunit ribosomal RNA", at positions 23 to 916 of the family's 1533-position model. The record is from RNAcentral.
CUCNGGAUGAACGCUAGCGGCAGGCNUAAUACAUGCAAGUCGAACGGUAAGGCUCCUUCGGGAGUACACGANUGGCGCACGGGUGAGUAACGCGUAUGCAACCUACCUUGAACUGAGGGAUAGCCCAGAGAAAUCUGGAUUAAUACUUCAUAUUAAUAUGAAUUGGCAUCAAUUUAUAUUUAAAGNUCCGGCGGUUUAAGAUGGGCAUGCGUGACAUUAGUUAGUUGGUAAGGUAACGGCUUACCAAGACAGCGAUGUCUAGGGGUUCUGAGAGGANNNCCCCCACACUGGUACUGAGACACGGACCAGACUCCUACGGGAGGCAGCAGUAAGGAAUAUUGGGCAAUGGACGAAAGUCUGACCCAGCCAUGCCGCGUGCAGGAUGACAGCCCUAUGGGUCGUAAACUGCUUUUAUAUGGGAAGAAACUCCACUACGUGUAGUGGACUGACGGUACCAUACGAAUAAGGAUCGGCUAACUCCGUGCCAGCAGCCGCGGUAAUACGGAGGAUCCAAGCGUUAUCAGGAUUUAUUGGGUUUAAAGGGUGCGCAGGCGGGCUAAUAAGUCAGUGGUGAAAUCUCUCGGCUCAACCGAGAAACUGCCAUUGAAACUGUUAGUCUUGAGUACAGUUGUAGUGGGCGGAAUAUAGCAUGUAGCGGUGAAAUGCUUAGAUAUGCUAUAGAACACCGAUCGCGAAGGCAGCUCACUAAGCUGUAACUGACGCUCAGGCACGAAAGCGUGGGGAGCAAACAGGAUUAGAUACCCUGGUAGUCCACGCCGUAAACGAUGAUUACUCGAUGUUGGCAAUACACCGUCAGCGUCCAAGCGAAAGCGUUAAGUAAUCCACCUGGGGAGUACGCUCGCAAGAGUGAAACUCAAAGGAAUUGACGG